RNAcentral lists this ribosomal RNA (403 nucleotides) under Fusobacteriota bacterium. RNAcentral's name for it is "Fusobacteria bacterium partial 16S ribosomal RNA". It matches the Rfam family "Bacterial small subunit ribosomal RNA", at positions 355 to 776 of the family's 1533-position model. The record is from RNAcentral. Lineage: Bacteria; Fusobacteriati; Fusobacteriota.
UGGGGAAUAUUGCACAAUGGAGGGAACUCUGAUGCAGCGACGCCGCGUGAACGAAGAAGGCUUUCGAGUCGUAAAGUUCUUUUAUAUGGGAAGAUAAUGACGGUACCAUAAGAAAAAGCCCCGGCUAACUACGUGCCAGCAGCCGCGGUAAUACGUAGGGGGCAGGCGUUGUCCGGAAUCACUGGGCGUAAAGGGUUCGCAGGCGGAAAUGCAAGUCAGGUGUAAAAGGCAGUAGCUUAACUACUGUAAGCAUUUGAAACUGCAUAUCUUGAGAAGAGUAGAGGUAAGUGGAAUUUUUAGUGUAGCGGUGAAAUGCGUAGAUAUUAAAAAGAAUACCGGUGGCGAAGGCGACUUACUGGGCUCAUUCUGACGCUGAGGAACGAAAGCGUGGGUAGCAAACAGG